GUGUCAUUGUCCUUAUUUUUUUGGAGCUGUCUAAUCAUCGUGUCUAAGUCGUGUCGUGUUCCAUACUUCGUGUCUCUGUCUGUGUCUAUGAUGCCUAUUGCCUAUUGGUACAACUAAUAAGUUUUAUUCUAAGAAAGAGAUCUGAAAUAAAACAUUGCUGAAAGUUCAGGGUUGAAAAUGAAACAUCGUUGAAAGUUCAGAGUUCUGAAAGUCGAAUUUAAAAAUUGAAGGACUUGUAGUG
RNAcentral lists this long non-coding RNA (241 nucleotides) under Ananas comosus (pineapple). RNAcentral's name for it is "long non-coding RNA (ACOM_LNC041673)". The record is from RNAcentral. Lineage: Eukaryota; Viridiplantae; Streptophyta; Magnoliopsida; Poales; Bromeliaceae.